GACGAACGCUGGCGGCGCGCUUAACACAUGCAAGUCGAACGGAAAGGCCUGCUUUCCCUUGUGGAUUGCGGGUACUCGAGUGGCGAACGGGUGAGUAACACGUGAGUGAUCUGCCCCCAACUUGGGUAUAAGCCUGGGAAACUGGGUCUAAUUCCCGAUAGGACUGCAGGGUGGUGCCUGUGGUGGAAAACGAUUUUCUAGUGGUUGGGGAUGAGCUCGCGGCCUAUCAGCUUGUUGGUGGGGUAAUGGCCUACCAAGGCGGCGACGGGUAGCCGGCCUGGGAGGGUGGACGGCCACAGUGGGACUGAGAUACGGCCCAGACUCCUACGGGAGGCAGCAGUGGGGAAUAUUGCACAAUGGGCGGAAGCCUGAUGCAGCGACGCCGCGUGGGGGAUGACGGCCUUCGGGUUGUAAACUCCUUUCGACCGCGAGGAAGCCACCUGGUUGGAAGGGUGGUGACGGUAGUGGUAGAAGAAGCACCGGCUAACUACGUG
RNAcentral lists this ribosomal RNA (494 nucleotides) under uncultured bacterium. Its description in RNAcentral is "partial 16S ribosomal RNA". It matches the Rfam family "Bacterial small subunit ribosomal RNA", at positions 28 to 507 of the family's 1533-position model. The record is from RNAcentral.